RNAcentral lists this unclassified non-coding RNA (312 nucleotides) under Hevea brasiliensis (rubber tree). The record is from RNAcentral. Lineage: Eukaryota; Viridiplantae; Streptophyta; Magnoliopsida; Malpighiales; Euphorbiaceae.
UGAUUAUGUCCUGUGUAUUGGGCAUUUUCUGGCGAAGGAUGAAGAUGUGUACACCUUCUUUGAGCCAGUGCUACCUUCUGAUGGCGUAGGUAUUGCAAGAACCAAGCAAACUGAUGGCUUAAAGUCACCAGGGGAAAGGCGUCCUUCUUUGAAGCUUCCAGCUAGUAGAAGUGGGUCAAAAUCAUCUCAAGGUAAGACACAACGACCUUCAUCAAAUCCUGACAAGAAACUUACCAACCAUAGCAGUGGGGGUGGUCGGCGGCAGUCACCGGAAAAGAUUUCAUGGAAUGUUCUUGAUCUCAAGGGAGAUAA